RNAcentral lists this ribosomal RNA (556 nucleotides) under uncultured bacterium. RNAcentral describes it as "bacterial SSU rRNA". It matches the Rfam family "Bacterial small subunit ribosomal RNA", at positions 359 to 917 of the family's 1533-position model. The record is from RNAcentral.
GAAUUGGGAAUGGACAAAGUCUGACCCAGCCAUCCCGCGUGAAGGAUGAAGGAUCUAUGGUUCGUAAACUUCUUUUAUUGGGGAAGAAAAAGUCUCAUUCAUGAGAAACUGACGGUACCCAAUGAAUAAGCACCGGCUAACUCCGUGCCAGCAGCCGCGGUAAUACGGAGGGUGCAAGCGUUAUCCGGAUUCACUGGGUUUAAAGGGUGCGUAGGCGGCUUUAUAAGUCAUUGGUGAAAGCUCGCAGCUUAACUGUGAAACUGCCAAUGAAACUGUUUAGCUUGAAUGUGGUUGAAGUGGGCGGAAUACAACAUGUAGCGGUGAAAUGCUUAGAUAUGUUGUAGAACACCGAUUGCGAAGGCAGCUCACUAAGCCAAUUAUUGACGCUGAGGCACGAAAGCGUGGGUAGCGAACAGGAUUAGAUACCCUGGUAGUCCACGCCCUAAACGAUGAAUACUCGAUGUGUGCUCCUUGUGGGUACGCGUCCAAGCAAAAGCGUUAAGUAUUCCACCUGGGAAGUACGGCCGCAAGGUUAAAACUCAAAGAAAUUGACGGA